UUGCUCUUCAACGAGGAAUGCCUAGUAAGCGCAAGUCAUCAGCUUGCGUUGAUUACGUCCCUGCCCUUUGUACACACCGCCCGUCGCUACUAUCGAUUGAAUGGCUCAGUGAGGCCUUGGGAUUGGCCAGGGGAGAUGGGCGACCAUCACCCCAGGCCGAAAACUUGGUCAAACUUGGUCAUUUAGAGGAAGUAAAAGUCGUAACAAGGUUUCCGUAGGUGAACCUGCGGAAGGAUCAUUACCGAGUUAGGGUUGCUCCGCAGCCCGACCUCCCAACCCUUUGUCUAACUUACCUUGUCGUUGCUUCGGCGGACCGGUUGACCAACUGGUCUUGACCGCCGGGGGGUUCGUCCCCUGGAGAGCGUCCGCCGACGGCCCAACCACAAACUCUUGUACCAAACCAUGUCGUCUGAAUUACUUGAUUAAAAUCAAAAAACAAAACUUUCAACAACGGAUCUCUUGGUUCUGGCAUCGAUGAAGAACGCAGCGAAAUGCGAUAAGUAAUGCGAAUUGCAGAAUUUCCGUGAGUCAUCGAAUCUUUGAACGCACAUUGCGCCCACUGGUAUUCCGGUGGGCAUGCCUGUUCGAGCGUCAUUAUCCUCCCUCAAACCCCGUGUUUGGUGUUGGGCCCGCGUUCCUGCGAAGGAACUGGCCUCAAAGACAAUGACGGCGUCCGCGGGACCCUCGGUGCAACGAGCUUUCAGGAGCACGCGCCGAGUUUCAAGGUCCCCCCGGGCCGGUCUAACCCUUUUUUACUUCUAAGGUUGACCUCGGAUCAGGUAGGAAUACCCGCUGAACUUAAGCAUAUCAAUAAGCGGAGGA
RNAcentral lists this ribosomal RNA (822 nucleotides) under uncultured fungus. RNAcentral describes it as "eukaryotic LSU rRNA". The stretch from base 1 to 241 matches the Rfam family "Eukaryotic small subunit ribosomal RNA", at positions 1593 to 1831 of the family's 1831-position model. Lineage: Eukaryota; Fungi. The record is from RNAcentral.